GUGUAGAUUUGCUGUAUAUGUCAAAGUUGUGCAUGACUGGAAAAAUAUUGAUUAUGGCACAAAAAAGCAGUUUUCUUAAUAGAUUGUUUCCACAUAAUCUUGAAAUUACCAACAUUUGAACCUGCAGUAUUGGAUGUUGGCCACUAGGGCAAGACAUUACAUUAGCACGAUUAAAAAUUGCAUUGCUGCAAUUGGCGACGCUUUUGCGACGAGACUUCAGAACAUGUU
Molecule: long non-coding RNA, 228 nt
Organism: Syngnathus acus (greater pipefish)
Lineage: Eukaryota; Metazoa; Chordata; Actinopteri; Syngnathiformes; Syngnathidae
Exons: 2
Source: RefSeq, a predicted model, not a curated record